Molecule: ribosomal RNA, 371 nt
Filed under: uncultured bacterium
Lineage: Bacteria
Description: bacterial SSU rRNA
Rfam family: Bacterial small subunit ribosomal RNA
Source: RNAcentral
AGGGGGCUCGAGCGUUAGUCGGAAUCACUGGGCUUAAAGGGUGCGUAGGCGGCUCGCCAAGUGCUUUGUGAAAUCCCACAGCUCAACUGUGGAACAGCAGGGCAAACUGGCGAGCUUGAGGCAGGUAGGGGCCGGAAGAACAGUUGGUGGAGCGGUGAAAUGCGUAGAUAUCAACUGGAAUGCCGAUGGGGAAGCCGUCCGGCUGGGCCUGUCCUGACGCUGAGGCACGAAAGCGUGGGGAGCAAACAGGAUUAGAUACCCUGGUAGUCCACGCCGUAAACGAUGUGCACUAGACUGGUGCGGUUUUGACGCCGUAUCAGUCGCAGUAAAAACGAUAAGUGCACCGCCUGGGGAGUACGGUCGCAAGGCUA